AUUGAACGCUGGCGGCGGGCUUUACACAUGCAAGUCGGACGAGUGGCGGACGGGUGAGUAACGUAUCGGAACGUACCGAGUAAUGGGGGAUAACUGCUCGAAAGGACAGCUAAUACCGCAUACUAUUCGAGCGGCCGAUGUGGGAUUAGCUGGUUGGUGGGGUAAAGGCCCACCAAGGCGACGAUCGGUAGCUGGUCUGAGAGGAUGAUCAGCCACACUGGAACUGAGACACGGCCCAGACUCCGACGGGAGGCAGCAGUGGGGAAGAUUGGACAAUGGGCGCAAGCCUGAUGCAGCCAUGCCGCGUGUCUGAAGAAGGCCUUCGGGGUGUAAAGGACUUUCAUCGGGGAGGCGUUACCUGCAGAAGAAGCACCGGCUAACUACGUGCCAGCAGCCGCGGUAAUUC
This 406-nucleotide ribosomal RNA is filed under the name uncultured bacterium. RNAcentral's name for it is "partial 16S ribosomal RNA". It matches the Rfam family "Bacterial small subunit ribosomal RNA", at positions 29 to 526 of the family's 1533-position model. The record is from RNAcentral.